Molecule: long non-coding RNA, 1092 nt
Filed under: Gallus gallus (chicken)
Lineage: Eukaryota; Metazoa; Chordata; Aves; Galliformes; Phasianidae
Description: lncRNA (ENSGALG00010004606.1)
Source: RNAcentral
CACCAUCCUCCAUGCGUUCUCCAAGAGGCGGUGACCAUGCCUCGAAAGCUACAGCUUGCAGACUGCCUGCGCUUGCUCCAUGUCCUCGAGGCAAUGCUCAGCAGCAGGAUAUGGCAGCGGGGGCCGAGAGCUGGGAGGGAGAUACGCUAGUCCCUUGCCUCCCCCUCCAACCGGCACGUCCAACACCCAAGUCGCUGAGGUUGGCAAACUGGAGGCAGCCAGUAUCCGCAAGGCCAAAACCCAGCCACAAACCAGCAGGUCCGCAGCAAGGCACAACCACCUGCACUCUGGGAACACCAACUGCCCCGGUGCUGGCCCCCGAGGCUGCGAGUGGCCCCGCAGAUGAGAUGGAACCAGAUCCCAGUGCUCAGGAGGGCACAGGAGAUGUCGAUGAGGCUCCUGCUUCACAUUCCCUCGCAGCACAACAGGCAGCAGAUGAUGGUGCCAAAGCUGGCGGCAUUUCUUGGGGCAUGCUGGUGGCCAAGGACACUGAAGAGAGGGUGCGCUCCUGGAUGAGAGAGCACAUGUUGCUGUCCUGCUGUCUUUGUGCUUCCCGCUCCGUUGUUCUGGUGGAUGUAGAGGAAGAGAGGAAGGACAGCCGUAAGAGAGAUGCUGCAGCAGAGGCGGCUGAAGUCCCAGUGAGAACACCAUCUGGCGAGGCAGAGGCCCAGCCUCCAGCUUCGGCUGUGGCUGCGAGCCCUCAGCACGAGGCGGACAGGCUGGAUCUCAGGAAGGGAGUGCCCCACAGCAAUGUCUCCGCGGAAGGGAGACAGCCUCAGUCAACUCGUGGAGCAUCCCUCUUUGUUCCUGCGCCCCCCCUCCAGCCUGCACAUGCCACACAGAAGUCACUCGGGUUGGCAUAUCGGGGGCGUCCAGUAGCCGCAAGACCAAAACCCAGCCAGAAACCAGCAGGUCCACAGCAAGGCCCACCCACCUGCACUCUGGGAACACCGAGAUCUGCCCAGGUGCUGGCCCCCAAUGCUGGGAGUGGCCCCGCAGAUGAGACGCGACCAGGUCCCAGUGCUCAGGAGGGCAGAAGAGACGCAGACGGGGCUCCUAGCUCACGUUCCCUGGCAGCACAACAGGCAGCAG